CACCGAAUAUUCCACAAUGGGCGAAAGCCUGAUGGAGCGACGCCGCGUGUGGGAGGAAGCCCUUCGGGGUGUAAACCACUGUCAGGGAUCACCAAGCGACCGGGGUGAACAGCCUCGGAAGUUGAGGAGUCCCAGAGGAAGUCACGGCUAACUUCGUGCCAGCAGCCGCGGUAAGACGAAGGUGGCGAGCGUUGUUCGGAAUUACUGGGCUUAAAGAGCACGUAGGUGGGCUAGCGAGCGUCUUGUGAAAGCCCCCGGCUCAACCGGGGAAUUGCAGGGCGAACUGCCAGCCUUGAGGCAGGUAAGGGCGAGUGGAACUCUUGGUGGAGCGGUGGAAUGCGUAGAUAUCAAGAGGAACGCCGGAGGUGAAGACGACUCGCUGGGCCUGUCCUGACACUGAGGUGCGAAAGCCAGGGGAGCAAACG
RNAcentral lists this ribosomal RNA (425 nucleotides) under uncultured bacterium. RNAcentral's name for it is "bacterial SSU rRNA". It matches the Rfam family "Bacterial small subunit ribosomal RNA", at positions 355 to 774 of the family's 1533-position model. The record is from RNAcentral.